Mercenaria mercenaria is the source of this 4236-nucleotide long non-coding RNA. RefSeq lists it as uncharacterized. The transcript is spliced from 4 exons. Lineage: Eukaryota; Metazoa; Mollusca; Bivalvia; Venerida; Veneridae. The record is from RefSeq and is a predicted model, not a curated record.
UUUAUAUAAGGAGUCGUUUUAUGAAUAUUCAAUGGCGGCAAUGACGUCAUAGACCCUUCUCCUCUGUUGGUAAAUCAACAACUACACUACACAAAGCACAUAUUAUUGUUGAUGAAACGCAUCAUGUAGUUUACUUGAAUGUCGUUAUAUGGCAUUCAGAUUGUGUCGCUGUGUACACCAGAUUCUCUAAAGUGAUAGAAAAUAUUGUAGUAAGAGUAAUAUAAUAGUUGUCAAGGAUUGGUUCUCUUUCACAGCAGGAACAAGAAACUGUCCAUGAGAAAUUUUCUGUUUAAGGUGAUGACGACCUUAGAGAGCAAAGAGAUGGCCGCCUAGGAGAGGACCCUGCGGAGAUACCAAGGCGGGAGCUAAGAGUCAAGGUCUCAAGUCUAAUUGGAGGAAAACGUUAUACCUUUUGACGGGGCCAUGGAAGUGAAUGGUGUGGUACAGAAGAAAUGGGAAGACGUCAGAACAGAGAUAUUAGUUGCACAUUAUGUUGAUUUCGUUUUAAUAAUGCUCAAACCCUCAUAUGUCAGUAAAACAGUUUUGUUUAAAUGCUUAUUUCGAAUCUAUGGUGGAAACUUGCAGAUUACUAGUAUUUACAUUGCCUCGUUUUAACUCGCAGUUCGUUUUCCAUUUGUUUGUUCUCAGAUCAAACAAGUUUAGUCCUCACAAUUAUACAAUUCGAGAACAAAGACUUCUUGUCGAUAUGUUGUGUGUCUUAAGCUGUGUCUGACAAAAAGAAUUGACAAUUUAGUGUUUUAGUACAGCUCAGCAUUGGAAACUAAAUUUCAUAGUUUUGUACUCCCAGUAAAAGACGACAAUUUAUAUAAGGAGUCGUUUUAUGAAUAUUCAAUGGCGGCAAUGACGCCAUAGACUCCUCUUCUCUGUUGGUAAAUCAACAACUACACUACACAAAGCACAUAUUAUUGUUGAUGAAACGCAUCAUGUAGUUUACUUGAAUGUCGUUAUAUGGCAUUCAGAUUGUGUCGCUGUAUACACCAGAUUCUCUAAAGUGAUAGAAAAUAUUGUAGUAAGAGUAAUAUAAUAGUUGUCAAGGAUUGGUUCUCUUUCACAGCAGGAACAAGAAACUGUCCAUGAGAAAUUUUCUGUUUAAGGUGAUGACGACCUUAGAGAGCAAAGACAUGGCCGCCUAGGAGAGGACCCUGCGGAGAUACCAAGGCGGGAGCUAAGGGUCAAGGUCUCAAGUCUAAUUGGAGGAAAACGUUAUACCUUUUGACGGGGCCAUGGAAGUGAAUGGUGUGGUACAGAAGAAAUGGGAAGACGUCAGAACAGAGAUAUUAGUUGCACAUUAUGUUGAUUUCGUUUUAAUAAUGCUCAAACCCUCAUAUGUCAGUAAAACAGUUUUGUUUAAAUGCUUAUUUCGAAUCUAUGGUGGAAACUUACAGAUUACUAGUAUUUACAUUGCCUCGUUUUAACUCGCAGUUCGUUUUCCAUUUGUUUGUUCUCAGAUCAAACAAGUUUAGUCCCCACAAUUAUACAAUUCGAGAACAAAGACUUCUUGUCGAUAUGUUGUGUGUCUUAAGCUGUGUCUGACAAAAAUAAUUGACAAUUUUAAGCUGUGAAACAAGACUAGUUGAUUUUUCCUUUUUCAUACUAUCGUUGUUUGCUCAGGCGAUGAGCAUUGUUAUGCAGGUAGCAUAUGCUCUUUCGGUGGCUGAACGGGCGUUCCGAGUUUGAGCACCGAGAUUCUCACUGGGAAAAUGUUUUAAUUAAAGAAACUGACGAGAAGACUGUACUCUAGAAGGCCACGGCCGAGUUGUUUCGUUCCAUGUAGUCAGGGUCAGCAUCAUAGACUUCACCUUAUCCAGGCUCACAGAAGGGACGACCGUAAACUGUUUCAAUCGUCAACAAAUGUCUUAUGGAUAAGAUACCUUUUUGAGGCAUUGACGAGAGGCGAAACGGUAUGGAAAAGGCAAGAUCUGCCUGUGUUGAAACAGAAAACGACCACAUCUGUCUGUGUGCGAAGUCUGUUUGAAUCGUACAAGCUGCAUUAUGUGUGUUUGUGUUUAGCGGUUUUUUCCCCCAACAUUUUAUUUCAGUCUUGUAAACGACGGUAUCCUUUUAGCAGUUACCGGAAUGCCCAUUUUUAUACUGAUGCCUCACUGGAAUAUCACGCCGUAGACACGUGACAUAUCAAAAUAUCCUGACACAGGACUGAUAAGUUCUCAUUAUAAUGAAAAUAGUGGCACACAGAUGAGCAUAAUUCAAAUACAUGUAUUACAAAUUAUGUAUAAAGUACCGCCGUAUUCCGAAAACAUCUGUAAGUUUGGUCUGAAAUGUUCCCCAGCCUCAUAGAUCAGAUAAAUCCCCGUGCGUUAAUGGCGAGGGUUAAGGCCUUUCUUUGCUCAACUCUUUGCAUACCUAGCCCGUAAACUCAAGAAAACCUGAUACUCAAACAUAUGUUUGUCCUCGUUAAUUCAUCUAUUUUGUUGGGUUUAACGUCGCACCGACACCAUUUUAGGUCAUAUGGCGACUUUUGUCCUCGCUAAAGUCGGAUUAUUUCAUGGGAGAGUGAUUAUGCAAAUACUUGUAAUUAUUCCUUGCAAGACUCUGGUCAGUGUUCAUGUCAGAUUUGUUCUACAUGUAUUUUGAUCUCUUCAGAUCGUUCAGCACGACAUUUUAAUUGUGUUAUUGUAAUACUUUUAAAUUUUGUAUUUUGGCCGUUUCUGUGGUAUGCAUGAUCUGUAACCUCAUAUCCUCUCUCCAGUUUAUUUAGUUUUGACCAUUUCCUUCUCGAUUACGGCAUCCCUAUCAUUCUCUUGAGAAGGGACAUUAUGAUUCGGUAAGUAACACUUGACUGAGCUACUGAUAUCGAAAGCUGUUGUCAUUGCAAGAUGGCCAGUCAAACUCCGUGACCUUAGAAAUAACCUCUGACGUUAAAACUAUUCUUUCCUAAUUGAGGCGACUCUCUGUCUGAACGUGUUCCGUGGAUUACAUAUUACUAAACCCGAGGAUGGUUGACUGAUUCUUUUAUUUCAUCCAUUCUUGAAGAACAUAACAUAUGUACAAACAGAUGGACAUAUAUCAGCAAAUUUACAUAUUUUUUGGUUGUGUUUAACGUCGCACCGACACAUUUUAGGUCAUAUGGCGACUUUCCAGCUUUAAUGGUGGAGGAAGACCCCAGGUGCCCCUCCGUGCAUUAUUUCAUCACGAACGGGCACCUGGGUAGAACCACCGACCUUCCGUAAGCCAGCUGGAUGGCUUCCUCACAUGAAGAAUUCAACGCCCCGAGUGAGGCUCGAACCAACAUCGAUGAGGGGCAAGUGAUUUGAAGUCAGCGACCUUAACCACUCGGCCACGGAGGCCUCAGAUAAGUAUUAUCGUUACCUUCAAAUGCAUGGUUAAUAUGUGAAAACAAACCCCAUUGCGACCCUCUAUUUAUGAGCAACAAAUUCACGCAUCAAAUCGUAAUGGAUUGACCGGGUCAAUGUCUUAUUGCCUUAUUUACUCAACUGAAAGUGGUAACAGAUUUAAUUUGUUGUUGGCUUUAACAAUUUAUGUUAAAUAACUAGCGUAAGUAAUUACUUGUCAUUUUUGACAGUUUAUAAAACAGACAUUGCAACCAAAUUUUUACAAGAUGAACAUUAUAUUGUUUCUACUGGAAAUCAUACGCCGCUUUUCAUGGAUUUGCACUCUGCAUCAGUGAAGGUUCUACUGUAUGAAUACUACCCAUGCUAGUGUAAACUGUAUUUCUCCCGUUACAUAAUUGGAACUGUUAAAAAACGGUGUUAAACCCAAAAACAAAAAUUGUAUUUCUUUUAUAACGUGUGUUAAUGUAAAGUUCUGCACAACCUAGGACGUAGACGGUAGUCGGCUAUACCAUCCAUAAACACUCUCAAUCAAACCAAGUAUGAAUACUAACCGCAAACGAAACUGUGCUCUUUUUAUUUUCAGAUUUUCUCAGAAUACGGUGAUGUUAUGUUUGGUAUAUCAUUUCAACGGAUAAAUAUUUAUCUUUUCAACUUACGUGAUUUUGUUAUCGUAUUGAUUCUGUUUAAGUGUAUGUCACGUCCUAUCGUUUAGUAGCGGUCAGAAUAAAAAUAUACAAAUAGCCGAGAGAAUUUUCUUGUGCUCACUUACUGUAGUUUGAUCAAAAGUGAUGAAAAUUUUGUAUUAAUACCGUGCGCACCCGCCAUUCUGUCUAACAACUUGCACAACACGCCGUAUCCUGGAAUAAACAUGACGCUGUAUUACUUUGGCUUGAAGACGGCAGUG